This 29-nucleotide non-coding RNA is filed under the name Rattus norvegicus (Norway rat). Lineage: Eukaryota; Metazoa; Chordata; Mammalia; Rodentia; Muridae. The record is from RNAcentral.
UGAUUUAAGUCAGGGUAAGGAUGGAUAGU